UACAGAGGGUGCGAGCGUUGUCCGGAAUCACUGGGCGUAAAGGGCGCGUAGGCGGCGCGGUAAGCGUGCGGUGAAAGCCCGGGGCUCAACCCCGGGUCGGCCGUGCGGACUGCCGGGCUGGAGCACUGUAGAGGCAAGUGGAAUUCCGGGUGUAGCGGUGGAAUGCGUAGAGAUCCGGAAGAACACCGGUGGCGAAGGCGGCCUGCUGGGCAGUAGCUGACGCUGAAGCGCGACAGCGUGGGGAGCAAACAGG
RNAcentral lists this ribosomal RNA (253 nucleotides) under uncultured bacterium. RNAcentral's name for it is "partial 16S ribosomal RNA". It matches the Rfam family "Bacterial small subunit ribosomal RNA", at positions 524 to 776 of the family's 1533-position model. The record is from RNAcentral.